Xenopus laevis (African clawed frog) is the source of this 283-nucleotide non-coding RNA. The record is from Rfam. NCBI's taxonomy places the organism in Eukaryota, Metazoa, Chordata, Amphibia, Anura, Pipidae.
AGUCAGUGAUGACCUGUAAAAGGUCUGAUUGCAUUGUGCUUCCCCAACACACCAAAUCAUCUCCCAGCAGUCCUACUUUUUUUUCUGUUCCUGUCCUGCUCUAGCUAUGCAGUGAUGGGCAACGGGUCUGCCGACAUUUAUGGAUACCCCAUAAUGCCAAAUCUCUUUAAGAAUCCAGAGCUAUGGUAACACAGGGUAUCCGACACAUCCAGUGUAAAGGAGACUAAGGUGUUUGGUUUGAAGCAAUAUACUUUGCAUGAUCUCUAGUUUUCAAUCUGAGACU